GAUGAACGCUGGCGGCGUGCCUAAUACAUGCAAGUCGAGCGAACGGACGAGAAGCUUGCUUUUCUGAUGUUAGCGGCGGACGGGUGAGUAACACGUGGAUAACCUACCUAUAAGACUGGGAUAACUUCGGGAAACCGGAGCUAAUACCGGAUAAUAUUUUGAACCGCAUGGUUCAAAAGUGAAAGACGGUCUUGCUGUCACUUAUAGAUGGAUCCGCGCUGCAUUAGCUAGUUGGUAAGGUAACGGCUAACCAAGGCAACGAUGCAUAGCCGACCUGAGAGGGGAACCGGCCAACCGGAAAUUGAACACCGGCCCAACCCCCACGGGAGGCAAGGAGUGGGAAUUUUGCCCAAAGGGGGGAACGCCGGACGAGGCAACCCCGGUGGGGGGAUAAGGGCUUUGGGAUGGAAAAACUUUUUUUUGGGGGAAAAAAAUAGGUGGAAAAAACUUUGCAAAUCUGACGGGACCCAAAUAAAAAGCCCCGGCUAACUUCGUG
This 496-nucleotide ribosomal RNA is filed under the name uncultured bacterium. Its description in RNAcentral is "partial 16S ribosomal RNA". It matches the Rfam family "Bacterial small subunit ribosomal RNA", at positions 28 to 507 of the family's 1533-position model. The record is from RNAcentral.